Molecule: ribosomal RNA, 787 nt
Filed under: Rastrococcus tropicasiaticus
Lineage: Eukaryota; Metazoa; Arthropoda; Insecta; Hemiptera; Pseudococcidae
Description: partial 28S ribosomal RNA
Rfam family: Eukaryotic large subunit ribosomal RNA
Source: RNAcentral
GAAGAGAGAGUUCAAUAGUACGUGAAACCGUUCGGGGGUAAACGGACAGAGCCCGUGAAUCCGGGCGUCAGUAUUCAGAAGCGAUGGCGGGCGCGCUCGCGAAAGCGGCGCGUUCGUCGUCGUUUUGAUAGUUCUGGCGCCGCGAUACACACACGGACGUCGCGACCCGUUUGGCGUCGGUCUCAGGAGUUUGCGUUUCACGUUCGUUACGCCGUUCCUUGUCGCGGUCUCGGCCGCGGUGAGGGCGCGUUACGAGUACGCGAUCUGAUUCCGGCUGACUCGCCAGACGGUACGCUUCGAUUGGGUGGCCGGUGUCGCCGUUAGGCGCGCGCGACAUCGGUGCCGGUCUGCGACGAAUCUUCGGGCCUCUUUCCGACCCGUCUUGAAACACGGACCAAGGAGUCUAACGUGCGCGCGAGUCGCGGGGUGUCGGGUAGCGGCGCGGUCGUCUUCGGGCGGUCGCGUCGUUGCCCGUUACAAUACGAAACCCGUACAUGUGAAAGGCGCAAUGAAAGUGAAACUGGGGAAGAUGGCGUUACCGAGUACACGUACCGCGGUCUUGUACCGCGGCCGGUCGCCCGCAUUCCCGGGGCGUCCCAACGGCACGUCGGCGUUGCGGACCGUCGUCUUCGGGCGGCGGUCGGGCGUCGACGAACCGGGGCGCACCUACAGCGUGCACGUUGGUACCCGAAAGAUGGUGAACUAUGCCCGGCCAGGAUGAAGUCAGGGGAAACCCUGAUGGAGGUCCGCAGCGAUUCUGACGUGCAAAUCGAUCGUCUGAGCUGGG